UACAGAGGGGGCGAGCGUUGUUCGGAAUUACUGGGCGUAAAGGGCGCGUAGGCGGCCCGCUAAGUCAGACGUGAAAUCCCUCGGCUCAACCGAGGAACUGCGUCUGAGACUGGUGGGCUCGAAUCCGGGAGAGGGAUGCGGAAUUCCAGGUGUAGCGGUGAAAUGCGUAGAUAUCUGGAGGAACACCGGUGGCGAAGGCGGCAUCCUGGACCGGCAUUGACGCUGAGGCGCGAAAGCCAGGGGAGCAAACGGGAUUAGAUACCCGUGUAGU
This 271-nucleotide ribosomal RNA is filed under the name uncultured bacterium. RNAcentral's name for it is "partial 16S ribosomal RNA". It matches the Rfam family "Bacterial small subunit ribosomal RNA", at positions 524 to 794 of the family's 1533-position model. The record is from RNAcentral.